GAUGAAGAACGCAGCGAAAUGCGAUAAGUAAUGUGAAUUGCAGAAUUCAGUGAAUCAUCGAAUCUUUGAACGCACAUUGCGCCCACCAGUAUUCUGGCGGGCAUGCCUGUUCGAGCGUCAUUUCAACCCUCAAGACCCCUUCGGGGGACUUGGUGUUGGGGACCGGCAUAGGGGCCUUGCGCCCCUCGCCGCCCCCGAAAUGAAUUGGCGGCCUCGUCGCGGCCUCCCCUGCGUAGUAGCACAACCUCGCAACGGGAACGUGACGGCGGCCACUGCCGUAAAACAACCCAAUUUUAUUAGAGUUGACCUCGAAUCAGGUAGGAAUACCCGCUGAACUUAAGCAUAUCAAUAAGCGGAGGA
This 360-nucleotide unclassified non-coding RNA is filed under the name soil metagenome. Its description in RNAcentral is "partial contains 5.8S ribosomal RNA, internal transcribed spacer 2, and large subunit ribosomal RNA". The stretch from base 1 to 120 matches the Rfam family "5.8S ribosomal RNA", at positions 35 to 154 of the family's 154-position model. The record is from RNAcentral.